GGGAACUGAAAGGACCGACCUUCGGGAGCCUAUACAGGUGUUGCAUGGCUGUCGUCAGCUCGUGUCGUGAGAUGUUCGGUUAAGUCCGCUAACGAGCGCAACCCUCGUCGUAUGUUAUAUGUGUCAUACGAGACUGCCGGUAAAAAGCCGGAGGAAGGUGAGGAUGAUGUCAAGUCAGCAUGACCUUUAUAUCCAGGGCUACACACACGCUACAAUGGUCUGUACAAUGGGUAGCCAAGCCGCGAGGCGGAGCCAAUCCUGAAAGCAGGCCUCAGUUCAGAUUGCAGUCUGCAACUCGACUGCAUGAAGCCGGAGUUGCUAGUAACCGCAGGUCAGCAAUACUGCGGUGAAUACGUUCCCGGGUCUU
This 367-nucleotide ribosomal RNA is filed under the name uncultured Anaerolineaceae bacterium. RNAcentral describes it as "bacterial SSU rRNA". It matches the Rfam family "Bacterial small subunit ribosomal RNA", at positions 1002 to 1382 of the family's 1533-position model. Lineage: Bacteria; Bacillati; Chloroflexota; Anaerolineae; Anaerolineales; Anaerolineaceae. The record is from RNAcentral.